Molecule: ribosomal RNA, 253 nt
Filed under: uncultured bacterium
Lineage: Bacteria
Description: partial 16S ribosomal RNA
Rfam family: Bacterial small subunit ribosomal RNA
Source: RNAcentral
UACAGAGGUCUCAAGCGUUGUUCGGAUUCAUUGGGCGUAAAGGGUGCGUAGGCGGCGCGGUAAGUCGGGUGUGAAAUCUUGGAGCUUAACUCCGAAACUGCAUUCGAUACUGCCGUGCUUGAGGACUGGAGAGGAGACUGGAAUUUACGGUGUAGCGGUGAAAUGCGCAGAUAUCAGGAAGAACACCCGUGGCGAAGGCGGCUCUCUGGAACGCAACUGACGCUGAGACGCGAAAGCGUGGGGAGCAAACAGG